Molecule: unclassified non-coding RNA, 121 nt
Filed under: uncultured Acremonium
Lineage: Eukaryota; Fungi; Ascomycota
Description: sequence contains ITS1
Source: RNAcentral
UAGAGUGUAAACUCCCUAACCUUUGUGAACAUACCUGUUGCUUCGGCGGUCCUCACCGGCCGCCGAAGGCCUAUAUUCUUGAAUUUACAUGAAUUUCUGAGUAUCAAACAAAAAUAAAUAA